This 253-nucleotide ribosomal RNA is filed under the name uncultured bacterium. RNAcentral describes it as "partial 16S ribosomal RNA". It matches the Rfam family "Bacterial small subunit ribosomal RNA", at positions 524 to 776 of the family's 1533-position model. The record is from RNAcentral.
UACGGAGGUGGCAAGCGUUGCUCGGAAUCACUGGGCGUAAAGGGCGCGUAGGCGGGGAGGUAAGUCGGGUGUGAAAUCCCUCGGCCCAACCGAGGAACUGCGCCCGAGACUGCUUCUCUUGAGUCCCGGAGAGGAAGAUGGAAUUCCCGGUGUAGCGGUGAAAUGUGUAGAGAUCGGGAGGAACACCGGUGGCGAAGGCGGGUCUCUGGGCAAUAACUGACGCUGAGGAGCGAAAGCGUGGGGAGCGAACAGG